UAAUAAUAAUGGCCCAAAGUGUUUGAGGCAAUGAUUAAAACCAUAAAGGCACUGAUGAAAGUAGGGCUGGAGGAUGGGAGUGGGUGAGAGAUCUGUGAGGAGGAGAUAGGCAAGAGAACCAAAAUUGCUGUUUUCUUUACACAUGGGAUUUUUCUUUACUGGUCUUCUUUGCUUAUACAUUACAUUUAUUUUACCAGAUUCUGCUUAUCUCAAGAUGGAAACUUUGAGUGUGUUUGAGGCCCUGAAAAGCAAGACUAUGGUGUCCGAUGUAGAGGUCACUUUGAGUCACAGCAUUGGAGUAGGGUGGAAUGCUUCUCGUAGAGAUAUAACAGCAAGCAUCAAUGACUUGAAAUAUUUUCUUGAGUUCCACUCAGUGCACCUGACUCCUAUUCCCCAGGUGGCCCAAAUUCAGUGGCUGAAGUGAGAGGAAGCCUGACCUGCGCUUCCUCAAGUCGGGUAACCGCUCUGGACUGUAUGAACAAUCCAGCCAUGACAACCAUCCAACUGUGGGGACGAGUGACAUGGAGUUGGCAAAGGCUCCUUUUGAACCCUUUGAAGUAAACAUGCAGAUAUGAGCAAUUGACUCAUUUUAUUCUUCCUGCUGGGAAAGCCUCAUCUUUUUACUUCAAACCACCUAAAUCUCAUGCAUCUUUCAAGACUCAGCCAGCGGCAUACAUCCCAUCUGUCUUGGUGUGAGAGACCCCAGUUAUUCCAUCUCAAAAGUGGCUCAAGUCUACACUUUCACAUCUCAUCUGGCAAAGGACAAAAAUUGGUCAGAGGCAACCCAUUCGUUUUAGUCACUUAAGUUUUUAUUUGGCAGACAUUGUCCUUAAUUAUUAAUUCACUAUUUCAACCAACAAUCAUGAAUUAUUACUUGCUUCAAAUUGUCAGAAGUCAAAUAAAACCUCUCAGAAAUCGUUAUGUCUCCCUUCCCUAAUAAAAGUCAAGAUUGUUUUGCUAUAGGAUGAAUCAAAUUUUAUACA
Molecule: long non-coding RNA, 983 nt
Organism: Equus caballus (horse)
Lineage: Eukaryota; Metazoa; Chordata; Mammalia; Perissodactyla; Equidae
Source: RefSeq, a predicted model, not a curated record